CCUACGGGUGGCAGCAGUGAGGAAUAUUGGUCAAUGGACGAGAGUCUGAACCAGCCAAGUAGCGUGAAGGAUGACUGCCCUAUGGGUUGUAAACUUCUUUUAUAUGGGAAUAAAAUGUUCCACGUGUGGGAUUUUGUAUGUACCAUAUGAAUAAGGAUCGGCUAACUCCGUGCCAGCAGCCGCGGUAAUACGGAGGAUCCGAGCGUUAUCCGGAUUUAUUGGGUUUAAAGGGAGCGUAGGUGGAUUGUUAAGUCAGUUGUGAAAGUUUGCGGCUCAACCGUAAAAUUGCAGUUGAAACUGGCAGUCUUGAGUACAGUAGAGGUGGGCGGGAUGCGGGGUGUAGCGGUGAAAUGCUUAGAUAUCACGAAGAACUCCGAUUGCGAAGGCAGUUCACUGGACUGCAACUGACACUGAGGCUCGAAAGUGUGGGUAUCAAACAGGAUUAGAUACCCCGGUAGUC
Molecule: ribosomal RNA, 460 nt
Filed under: uncultured bacterium
Lineage: Bacteria
Description: partial 16S ribosomal RNA
Rfam family: Bacterial small subunit ribosomal RNA
Source: RNAcentral